Molecule: ribosomal RNA, 499 nt
Filed under: uncultured bacterium
Lineage: Bacteria
Description: bacterial SSU rRNA
Rfam family: Bacterial small subunit ribosomal RNA
Source: RNAcentral
AUUGAACGCUGGCGGCAGGCCUAACACAUGCAAGUCGAGCGGUAGCACAAGGGAGCUUGCUCUCUGGGUGACGAGCGGCGGACGGGUGAGUAAUGUCUGGGAAACUGCCUGAUGGAGGGGGAUAACUACUGGAAACGGUAGCUAAUACCGCAUAACGUCUUCGGACCAAAGUGGGGGACCUUCGGGCCUCACACCAUCGGAUGUGCCCAGAUGGGAUUAGCUAGUAGGUGGGGUAACGGCUCACCUAGGCGACGAUCCCUAGCUGGUCUGAGAGGAUGACCAGCCACACUGGAACUGAGACACGGUCCAGACUCCUACGGGAGGCAGCAGUGGGGAAUAUUGCACAAUGGGCGCAAGCCUGAUGCAGCCAUGCCGCGUGUAUGAAGAAGGCCUUCGGGUUGUAAAGUACUUUCAGCGGGGAGGAAGGGAGUAAAGUUAAUACCUUUGCUCAUUGACGUUACCCGCAGAAGAAGCACCGGCUAACUCCGUGCCAGCCGCC